GUGCCGGUAGCUCAGCUGGAUAGAGCGUCUGGCUACGGACCAGAAGGUCGGGGGUUCAAAUCCUCUCCGGCACGCCA
This 77-nucleotide transfer RNA is filed under the name Eubacteriales bacterium OttesenSCG-928-M02. RNAcentral describes it as "tRNA-Arg". It matches the Rfam family "tRNA". From Rfam's summary of the family: Transfer RNA (tRNA) molecules are approximately 80 nucleotides in length. Their secondary structure includes four short double-helical elements and three loops (D, anti-codon, and T loops). Further hydrogen bonds mediate the characteristic L-shaped molecular structure. tRNAs have two regions of fundamental functional importance: the anti-codon, which is responsible for specific mRNA codon recognition, and the 3' end, to which the tRNAs corresponding amino acid is attached (by aminoacyl-tRNA synthetases). tRNAs cope with the degeneracy of the genetic code in two manners: having more than one tRNA (with a specific anti-codon) for a particular amino acid; and 'wobble' base-pairing, i.e. permitting non-standard base-pairing at the 3rd anti-codon position. Lineage: Bacteria; Bacillati; Bacillota; Clostridia; Eubacteriales. The record is from RNAcentral.